RNAcentral lists this ribosomal RNA (492 nucleotides) under uncultured bacterium. Its description in RNAcentral is "partial 16S ribosomal RNA". It matches the Rfam family "Bacterial small subunit ribosomal RNA", at positions 29 to 507 of the family's 1533-position model. The record is from RNAcentral.
AGUGAACGCUGGCGGUAGGCCUAACACAUGCAAGUCGAACGGCAGCACAGUAAGAGCUUGCUCUUACGGGUGGCGAGUGGCGGACGGGUGAGGAAUACAUCGGAAUCUACUUUUUCGUGGGGGAUAACGUAGGGAAACUUACGCUAAUACCGCAUACGACCUACGGGUGAAAGCAGGGGAUCUUCGGACCUUGCGCGAUUGAAUGAGCCGAUGUCGGAUUAGCUAGUUGGCGGGGUAAGGGCCCACCAAGGCGACGAUCCGUAGCUGGUCUGAGAGGAUGAUCAGCCACACUGGAACUGAGACACCGUCCAGACUCCUACGGGAGGCAGCAGUGGGGAAUAUUGGACAAUGGGCGCAAGCCUGAUCCAGCCAUACCGCGUGGGUGAAGAAGGCCUUCGGGUUGUAAAGCCCUUUUGUUGGGAAAGAAAAGCAGCAGGUUAAUACCCCGCUGUUCUGACGGUACCCAAAGAAUAAGCACCGGCUAACUUCGUG